ACGGAGACAAUUAUCGUUAACUGUGAACCAGGAUCUUUAUUGAGAGAGAGAGUUUAACAAAGAAAAAAAAAUGCUCCCGACAAUGGAGGAUAAAUACCUGGAGUUUUACAAUCUUGAGUCCACAGCUUCCUUGAAAGUUACUUUUGGUGUGGAUCUAAUGGCACAAAUCACAGUCUUUAGUCCGUUUCUGACAGCGGUACAGUCUUUAGUCCGAUACACCACACAGUUGAAGUUGUUUGAAGCGAAGGGUCUUUCCUUCCUUGCGAAUUUUCUCCUUUCUGGGUUCUUGAUUCUGAAGACGGCACUCGAGUAAUGUUCGGCGCUCGGCUUCGUUGGAGACGGGUGUUUGGAGAAGUACACGGGCAACCUACAGUCUCUUUUCUCCCUCUAUGUCUUGGGUGGCCACUGUCUAGAUGGAUUCUUCGGACGAGAGAUAUUAUUGCUCACUUCG
This 451-nucleotide long non-coding RNA is filed under the name Androctonus crassicauda. Lineage: Eukaryota; Metazoa; Arthropoda; Arachnida; Scorpiones; Buthidae. The record is from RNAcentral.